This is a long non-coding RNA of Lycium ferocissimum, 1025 nucleotides long. RefSeq lists it as uncharacterized. The record is from RefSeq and is a predicted model, not a curated record. The transcript has 3 exons. Lineage: Eukaryota; Viridiplantae; Streptophyta; Magnoliopsida; Solanales; Solanaceae.
AUUAUAACCAAAGCCUGCUAAAUGUUCACUCCUUAUUGGACAACUUGUUUCCUCUUUCAAGUUAGACGAAUCAGAAAUUCAACAAGAAAGCUUCAAAGGACCGAUUAGUAGUAAGGGCGAAAUUGCAUUUGACCAGAAAUCAAAACAUGCCCUAGGUCCUAGGGGGAAGAAUGUGGUUUUAGACGACUAUGAUACCCCAAGAGUGGUUAAUGAUGGAGUCACGAUUGGUCAAGACAUAGAGCUAGCUGAUGCCAUGGAAAAAGCAGGCGCCACCCUUAUUAGAGAGGUUGGUUAUUUGCUUCCCUGAAGAUCAUUGAAUCUAUCCUGAAUCUGAUUAAUUGCUCUAAGUACAGACAGCAAUUGUCAUAUUUAUCCUACUCCUUGAUUUGUGUACUGGAACUUCGGAAUUUAUGGUGAAGGUUGCAAGCCUAACCAACGAUUCUGCUGGUGACGGGACAACAACUGUAUCAGCUCUUACCCAGGAAAUCAUUAAACUUGGUCUUUAAGUGUUACAUCUGGUGCAAAUCCAGUCUCUCUGAAGAAGGACAUGGACAAAACUGUAAAUGCUUUGAUUGCAAUGCUGAAAAGGAGGGCUAGGCCUGUUAAAGGUCGUGAUGACAUCAAAGAUUGACAAGGGAUAUAUCUCCCCCACAAUUCAUGACCAACCAGGAGAAAGUAGUUGUUGAAUUUGAGACUGGUAAAGUGUUGUUUACAGAUCACGAGAUAUCAGCAAUCAAGGAUAUUAUGCCCCUCUUGGAGAAGGCAACUCAAUUACGAGCCACUCUGCUCAUUAUCGCUGGAGACGUAACUGGAGAAGCUUUGGCUACUCUUAUUGUGAAAAAGCUGCAAGGUAUACUGAAUGUUGCUGCCACCAGAGCACUUGGUUUUGGUCAAAGGAGGAAGGCUCUUCUCCAAGAUAUUGCCAUUGUAACAUGUGGCUGAACUUGCCUGGCCUAAUUGUACCACUUCCCACAAAGUGAUAAUAGUAGAUUGGUUAGAGUAAAACUAGUUUUGAAGCUCUGUGG